This 352-nucleotide transfer-messenger RNA is filed under the name Thermoanaerobaculia. RNAcentral describes it as "JACTMI01 sp019911865 Standard tmRNA". It matches the Rfam family "transfer-messenger RNA". Rfam says of the family: Bacterial tmRNA, also known as 10Sa RNA or SsrA, is named for its dual tRNA and mRNA-like properties. Its role is to liberate the mRNA from a stalled ribosome. The record is from RNAcentral. RNAcentral also lists the same sequence under 1 other name. Lineage: Bacteria; Pseudomonadati; Acidobacteriota.
GGGGGCGCACCGGAUUCGACGGGAAACAAGGCGGUUCGCAGGUUGCGUGCCGAGAUUGCUCUCGUAAAACUGUCAGCGCAAGCUGCCAACGACAACUACGCACUCGCGGCUUAAUUGACCGCGACGUCGCCUGCCACGGCCUGGUCCACGGCAGGGCAGGUGGCGACGCUAAAGUGGACCGAACGUCACGGUUGGUUCCGUACCGUGCCGGGAUCGUCAAAACGGAACUGGCGCCGUCGGGGGCUGCCUUCUGCCAACCCGCCGGGGCGAUGACUUGAAACGAAGGCUACGCACGUAGAGACCAGCGGGACGCGUUUUCCGGACGUGGGUUCGAUUCCCACCGCCUCCACCA